GACGAACGCUGGCGGCGCGCUUAACACAUGCAAGUCGAGCGAGAACCAGGGCUUCGGCUCUGGGGACAGCGGCGAACGGGUGAGUAACACGUGGGUAACCUGCCCUCGGCACCGGAAUAGCCCGGGGAAACCCGGAUUAAUGCUGGAUAGCCUCACGGAUCUUCGGAUUUGUGAGAAAAGGUGGCUUCGGCUUCCGGCUGAGGAUGGGCCCGCGGCCGAUUAGCUUGUUGGUGAGGUAACGGCNCACCAAGGCGACGAUCGGUAGCUGGUCUGAGAGGACGAUCAGCCACACUGGGACUGAGACACGGCCCAGACUCCUACGGGAGGCAGCAGUGGGGAAUCUUGCGCAAAUGGGCGAAAGCCUGACGCAGCGACGCCGCGUGCGGGAAGAAGGCCUGGUGUAA
This 404-nucleotide ribosomal RNA is filed under the name uncultured bacterium. Its description in RNAcentral is "bacterial SSU rRNA". It matches the Rfam family "Bacterial small subunit ribosomal RNA", at positions 28 to 428 of the family's 1533-position model. The record is from RNAcentral.